Long non-coding RNA from Oncorhynchus keta (chum salmon), 807 nucleotides. RefSeq lists it as uncharacterized. Lineage: Eukaryota; Metazoa; Chordata; Actinopteri; Salmoniformes; Salmonidae. The record is from RefSeq and is a predicted model, not a curated record. The transcript has 4 exons.
UUGCAGGUGAACUGUUUAGCUCAGGUGACUGUUGGUAGUGCAGACUGUAGUUAGAGUUUUGCAGGUGAUGUGAACUGUUUAGCUCAGGUGACUGUUGGUAGUGCAGACUGUAGUUAGAGUUUUGCAGGUGAUGUGAACUGUUUAGCUCAGGUGACUGUUGGUAGUGCAGACUGUAGUUAGAGUUUUGCAGGUGAUGUGAACUGUUUAGCUCAGGUGACUGUUGGUAGUGCAGACUGUAGUUAGAGUUUUGCAGGUGAUGUGAACUGUUUAGCUCAGGUGACUGUUGGUAGUGCAGACUGUAGUUAGAGUUUUGCAGGUGAUGUGAACUGUUUAGCUCAGGUGACUGUUGGUAGUGCAGACUGUAGUUAGAGUUUUGCAGGUGAUGUGAACUGUUUAGCUCAGGUGACUGUUGGUAGUGCAGACUGUAGUUAGAGUUUUGCAGGUGAUGUGAACUGUUUAGCUCAGGUGACUGUUGGUAGUGCAGACUGUAGUUAGAGUUUUGCAGGUGAACUGUUUAGCUCAGGUGACUGUUGGUAGUGCAGACUGUAGUUAGAGUUUUGCAGGUGAUGUUAACUGUUUAGCUCAGGUGACUGUUGGUAGUGCAGACUGUAGUUAGAGUUUUGCAGGUGAACUGUUUAGCUCAGGUGACUGUUGGUAGUGCAGACUGUAGUUAGAGUUUUGCAGGUGAUGUUAACUGUUUAGCUCAGGUGACUGUUGGUAGUGCAGACUGUAGUUAGAGUUUUGCAGGUGAUGUUAACUGUUUAGCUCAGGUGACUGUUGGUAGUGCAGACUGUAGUUAGAGUUUUG